Molecule: microRNA, 21 nt
Filed under: Heligmosomoides polygyrus
Lineage: Eukaryota; Metazoa; Nematoda; Chromadorea; Rhabditida; Heligmosomidae
Description: hpo-miR-5896-3p
Source: miRBase by way of RNAcentral
UGGGCAGGGCGUUGUUCAAUA